This 3995-nucleotide long non-coding RNA is filed under the name Homo sapiens (human). RNAcentral's name for it is "HSALNT0338223". The record is from RNAcentral. Lineage: Eukaryota; Metazoa; Chordata; Mammalia; Primates; Hominidae.
AGAUGGAUUCUUGCUCUGUUGCCCAUACUGGAGUACAGUGAUGCAAUCUCGUCUCACUGCAACCUCCGCCUCCAAGUUCAAGAGAUUCUCCUGCCUCAGCCUUCUGAGUAGCUGAGAUUACAGGUGCCCACCACCACGCCCAGUUACCCACACGCUUUUUAUUGCACUUCCUGAGCAAAUGCAUAGCUUUAAAUGACUGUGGUGGUCUGUGUUUUAGUUUCUUUCCCUUGAAGCUUUAGGGUGUUUUUUUUUUUUUUUGGUAGUAAACAUUUGGGUAAACCGAGGACACUGUAAGUUCACAUCAGCAGAUGGCUCUUCCCUCCUUGUCAGUACCCGGUUUCCUGAGGUAUGAGCUCCCACUCUCUACAGCACCCCCCCUAUAUCUAUCCCUUGCUUCUAAUAAGACCUCCCACUCCUCCCACCCUCCCCUGCCUCUUUCUUUCCGGCUGCUCACUUUGCCUUAUAUGUUACUGCAAUUUAAGAAGGUGACACCAAGAGCACUCACUUUCUUGUCUUCCAUUUCUUGAGAAAAAGCGUCCUUUCUCCUCUUAGAUGCAAAGGCCUCCACUUGUGCUGGACACCCACCUCUGCCUCAUCAAAGAGGUUGUUCCUUUGGCUGGUCCCCUCUCUCCUUUAUUGUCUUCUCUCAUUUCCCCAAUGCACAUUGUGUUGUAAGAGCGUCUGCCUCUUAAAGAACUUACCUGGACCCCACUCACUUCACUUCUUGCCCCAUUUUCCCUUCCCAUUUAAUCUUUCCUCCCCUGAGACAGCAUCACCAACAGCUUUGGGCAAUGCCAAGCCCAGUUAGAUGCUCCUCUCGUUUGUUCUUACGCAGCCUCUCUCCAGCACUGGGCACUGUGGACCACCCCCUCUGGUUGAAACUCUGCUUUCGUGGCUUCUGAGACCUGGUUUUUCUCCUACAUCUACGAUUCUUUCUGCUUAGCGUUUUGAGCCUUUUCUGGCUUGAACCUGAACAACUUCUGAAGGUUGAAGGUCCUCAGAGCUUGGCCCCACGUCCUCUCUAUCUUCUCCUUGAGUUAUAUUCCCAUGGCUUUAGAAACCAUCUAUAUGCUAAUGACUCCCAAAUUUAUAUCUCCAGCUCAGCUCUCCUCUCAGCACUCCCGUCUCAUUUAUCCAAAUUACUUACCUGACAACUCCACGCGGAUGUUUCUCAAACAUCUGAAAUGUAAUAUGUUCAAAACUAAACUCUUGCUUUUUUUCAUGGAAACUUAUUUCUCCAUGAAUCUUCUCCAUCUCAGUGAAUGACAACUCAUUCCACAUAAUUGCCGAAGUAAAAAGACUUGAUGGAUUUUGAUUCUGCACCUCCCACACUCCCACAUCCAAUCCAUCCACAGAAAUGGUUGAUAUACCUCCAGAGUACAUCUUCCAUUGCCACCGCGAUAACCUGCCGGCACCUUGCUUUGUCUCUCGCCACCCGCUCAUACAGUGUUCAAGGUACUCUUAUUAAAACGUAGAUCGGUCCCUUCACUUUCCUGCUAAAACCCCGUUUUUUCCCCCUACAUUGCACUUAGCACUUUAAGUCACUCUCCUGGCCAGUAUAGCCAUGACUGGCCUGGUCUCUGUCUUUGCUGUCCGACUCACACCUAUGGCCACCAACGCCUAGUCACCUGAUUUUCCAUUUGUGCAACAAGCCGGAUUUGUGUACUUUGUUCACAGUGUUCCCUUUGUUUGGAAUGUGUUUUCCUUCUCUCUUCUCAUGGCUGUGUUCUUUUUAUUCAAGUUUCUAUCUAAAUCUCAUCUCUGAUUUAUUUCUCUAACCAUUUUUUCUAGGUAGGAUACCUAGUUAUUCUUGACCACAGUAUCAGUUUUAUUUCCUCCCUAGCAUUUUGUAUUUUAUAGUGAACACUUUGUAUAUUUGCUUCUGUAUUACCUGUGUCUUCCACUAGACUCCAAGUCUCAUCAUCACACACUGACUGCUGAGCACAUAGUAGGGAUUAAUAAUUGUUAAUGAAUGAAUAACUUGAUCUGUCAAUCUCCAAAACAAAUGAAAUAUUCAAGGAUUGUGGAGGACAAGAGAAGAAAUGGUCUGUUUCUUCAAGUAGCUCACAAAUACAUGUUACAACGAUGAGGCCGGAGCUUCUGUAUGAACUUACUCUGCCCUCAACAGAAACCAAACCAUCUUCUGGGUGGUUCUUACACAGGUUUCUUUGCUUUAUAAAAACUCAACCAUGUACUUAGGAGUUGUGUAUGUUUUUAUAUAUGGUUGCACCUCAAUAAAACGGCAUAUCCAAAAGAAAAAGGAAAAGGGAAAAAUGCUAAGAAGUACUUGCCUAAUUUUCUGCAACAAGACUUUAUUUUUAUAAUCAGGAAGACUGACAACAAUUCUCUAAGAACAAAAGAAAUCUCUGAAUAACUGUAUAUUUAGAGAAAAGGAGUUAUUCUCAUUAUUUGUUUAUGAUAUUCUUUUGUAGCUCUUAUAUUGUAAGUUUAUAACACUUUAACGAACCUCCUUAAAUUCCAUUUAACUUGUUAUGGACUGGAAAUUGGGUAUAGUUUUCAGACGUUGGUCUGGUGGGUGAGAUUUAUACCUGGUGGAAUUAGUACAUAGUUUUGGGAUUUGUAUGCCCAAGUACGUGUUCUCUAUCAAAUUUGCUACUUGGGCUGUUUCACUGGCAGACCUGUUAAUAGAAUCUCGUUUGUAUGUGUGUCUCACAGACUACUUUGAAGUGAGGAAUAUUCACGAAGGCCUAUUACAAGCAUCAGAUCACUAGAUCACUAAGAGAGAUGAUAAGAAGGGUCUUGAAAUUACAUACAGAAGAAAAUUUGCUGUUAUGCUUAGUCAUACAUACAUUCUCUGUUUCAAUCCUAGAGAUCUGUCAGGUGGGUAUGCGUAGGAUAUGAGCAGCCACCAGCCAGCCAGAUGCCUCCUAGCAAUAGUCUUCUCACCAGGACCUGAAGUCAAUGUCAUUACCUCACACGCCACUCCAGUGGGCUGCGUGACAUGGCACCGUCGCAGCAUGACACACAGGGAAGUGUUUCUAGUUUCCAGAACAUUUCUGAAACCCACAUCUUCCUUCUACAUCUUUGUAAGAACUUAAAUAUGGUGUGAUGUUAUUGCACAUCCACCAGAGACUUGACGCUUUCUGUUUAAAACCUAACAUAUGCUUAGAUAUUAAUAAAAUAGACUCUAGAACCAACUCCUCUGAAAUGGGCCUGUAACAGAUGCUGUACUGCUCAGAAACUUUACCAAGUAGCUGUAGAGCCCAGCCUCGCCUGGUGACUUACAUACCCCUAGGAGAGUCUUUAACCAAAGACUGACAAGGAUGGGGGUGUUUACUUCAGCUCCUCCUUCUCCCAACUCUCAUCAUCUGCCCAUCCCCCAAACGGGACAACUCUGAGAAGUGUCUCUAGAGUUCUCUUGUAGCAAUGAGCCAAAAUAACCCUUCAUAAGAAUUUACCUAAUGACACACCCUUGUUGGGCUUCCUUCCUUUCCCUGUCUAGCCCCCAGACGCUCUAUUUCUUUCUCCCUUGGGACAGCCCUUCCUAAUAAUUCACUUCCACUUAGUGUCUGCUUCUAGGAAAUCCUACCUAAGACAGGCUUCGUUCCACCUAAAGGCCGAAGCUACUGUGAUAUUUUACAAUCCUUGACUUUUAGCUACAUACUCAUUAUUAUUAUCAUUCUUACUUUAUCCUUUACACUACCUUGAUCACUGGAGUAACCUUAACCUAUCUGCACAUAGAUCUUUAUUUUCUAUUGUGAAGGUGAUAUUAUUAGGAACCACCAACUGAAAUUUUACCACCUCUAUAAAACACCAGACAAACGGUGAGACAUAUUUAGCUUCAUCAUCCACUGUGUGGCUUUUUCUUUUUGUUUUACAUUAAUCCCUAUUAAAGAGAUUAUUGGCUGGGUGCGGUGGCUCACGCCUGCAAUCCCAGCACUUUGGGAGGCCGAGGCAGAUGAUCACCUGAGGGCAGGAGUUGGAGACAGCCUGGCCAACGUGGUGAAACCUCGUCUCUACUAAAAGUACAAAAA